Molecule: ribosomal RNA, 772 nt
Filed under: uncultured bacterium
Lineage: Bacteria
Description: bacterial SSU rRNA
Rfam family: Bacterial small subunit ribosomal RNA
Source: RNAcentral
AGCGUAGGUGGCUUGAUAAGUCAGAUGUGAAAGCCCCGGGCUUAACCUGGGAACGGCAUCUGAUACUGUUAGGCUAGAGUAGGUGAGAGGAAGGUAGAAUUCCAGGUGUAGCGGUGAAAUGCGUAGAGAUCUGGAGGAAUACCGAUGGCGAAGGCAGCCUUCUGGCAUCAUACUGACACUGAGGUUCGAAAGCGUGGGUAGCAAACAGGAUUAGAUACCCUGGUAGUCCACGCCGUAAACGAUGUCUACUAGUCGUUGGGUCCCUUGAGGACUUAGUGACGCAGCUAACGCAAUAAGUAGACCGCCUGGGGAGUACGGCCGCAAGGUUAAAACUCAAAUGAAUUGACGGGGGCCCGCACAAGCGGUGGAGCAUGUGGUUUAAUUCGAUGCAACGCGAAGAACCUUACCUGGUCUUGACAUAUCUAGAAUCCUGCAGAGAUGCGGGAGUGCCUUCGGGAAUUAGAAUACAGGUGCUGCAUGGCUGUCGUCAGCUCGUGUCGUGAGAUGUUGGGUUAAGUCCCGCAACGAGCGCAACCCUUGUCCUUAGUUACCAGCGGUUUGGCCGGGAACUCUAAGGAUACUGCCAGUGACAAACUGGAGGAAGGCGGGGACGACGUCAAGUCAUCAUGGCCCUUACGACCAGGGCUACACACGUGCUACAAUGGUAGGUACAGAGGGCAGCUACACAGCGAUGUGAUGCGAAUCUCAAAAAGCCUAUCGUAGUCCAGAUUGGAGUCUGCAACUCGACUCCAUGAAGUAGGAAUCGCUAGUA